UUACACCACAAUGAAAAUAUGUUUAUAAACAUGCACAUACAUUGAAUGCAAGUUGACAAACAAAUUAACCUAGAGGAAGCAUAGUUUUGACCAUCUUAACAAUCAUCUAGAACACACGAGUCACAAAAAGAUAAGGACUAUUGGUUACUAUGAGAGACUUCAGAUGGUCCAGAACACACAAGUUUGUAUCUACAUGCACAAAGUGCAAGCUCCAUAACACUCGAAACACCAAAUGGUAUACAAGACAAUAAGGUCCAUGUUUACAGGUUGGUUGGUCC
RNAcentral lists this long non-coding RNA (278 nucleotides) under Hordeum vulgare. RNAcentral's name for it is "long non-coding RNA (HVUL_LNC015840)". The record is from RNAcentral. Lineage: Eukaryota; Viridiplantae; Streptophyta; Magnoliopsida; Poales; Poaceae.